This 2637-nucleotide ribosomal RNA is filed under the name Triticum aestivum (bread wheat). Its description in RNAcentral is "partial small subunit ribosomal RNA". Lineage: Eukaryota; Viridiplantae; Streptophyta; Magnoliopsida; Poales; Poaceae. The record is from RNAcentral.
AUGGCUGAGCAGCAACAGAAGAAGCAGCAGCAGCAGGGUGGCGAUGACGAGGUGCUGGAGGUGGAGUGCGCGCUGGACAUGCCGGAGGUGGUGCAGCGGCAGGACUCGCUGUACCGGGACGCCUCCCGGGCCGGCGGCGCCAGCCACCACGGCCAUGAGCGAUGGGGCAAGACGCUGCGCCUCGCGUUCCAGUGCGUCGGCGUGCUCUACGGCGACAUCGGCACGUCGCCUCUGUACGUCUACUCCAGCACCUUCACCGCCGGCGUCCGGCAUACCGACGACCUCCUCGGCGUCCUCUCCCUCAUCAUCUACAGCUUCAUACUCUUCACCAUGGUCAAGUACGUCUACAUCGCCCUCCGCGCCAACGACGAUGGAGACGGCGGUACGUUCGCGCUCUACUCUCUCAUCUCGCGGCACGCCAAGGUGAGCCUGGUGCCGAACCAGCAGGCGGAGGACGAGCUGCACAUCCUGGAGCAGGACGACCCCAAGUCCUUCAGCCGGCGGCGCGCCCUGGCCACGCUGCAGCUGGCCUCCCCGGCGGCGUACCGCGCGCAGCGGGUCAAGGAGCUCCUGGAGACGAGCAAGCCCGUGCGCAUCUCGCUCUUCCUGCUCACCAUCCUCGCCACGGCCAUGGUGAUCAGCGACGCCUGCCUGACGCCGGCCAUCUCCGUGCUGUCCGCCGUCGGGGGGCUCAAGGAGAAGGCGCCACACCUCACCACAGACCAGAUCGUGUGGAUCACGGUGGCCAUCCUGGUGGCGCUCUUCUCGGUGCAGCGCUUCGGCACGGACAAGGUGGGCUACUUCUUCGCGCCGGUCGUCAUCCUCUGGCUGCUCCUCAUCGGCGGCGUCGGCGUGUACAACCUCGUCAAGCACGACAUCGGCGUCCUCCGGGCCUUCAACCCCAAGUAUAUCGCCGACUACUUCCGGCGCAACAAGAAGGACGCGUGGAUCUCCCUCGGCGGCAUCCUCCUCUGCUUCACCGGCACCGAGGCUCUCUUCGCCGACCUCGGCUACUUCAGCAUCCGCUCCAUCCAGCUCAGCUUCGGCUUCGGCCUCGUCCCCUCCGUGCUCCUCGCCUACGCCGGCCAGGCCGCCUUCCUCCGCAAGUACCCGGAAGAGGUGGCCAACACGUUCUACAGGUCCACCCCGACGGUCCUCUUCUGGCCCACCUUCGUCCUGGCCAUCGCCGCCUCCAUCAUCGGCAGCCAGGCCAUGAUCUCCUGCGCCUUCGCCACCAUCUCCCACUCGCAGGCGCUGGGGUGCUUCCCGCGCGUCAAGAUCCUGCACACCUCCAAGCAGUACCAGGGCCAGCUCUACAUCCCGGAGGUCAACUUCCUGCUGGGCUUCGCCGCCUGCGUCGUCACCGUGGCCUUCAAGACCACCGUGGUCAUCGGCGAGGCGCACGGCAUCUGCGUCGUCCUCGUCAUGCUCAUCACUACGCUGCUCCUCACCGUGGUGAUGCUCCUGGUGUGGAGGAUGAACGCGUGGUGCGUCGCGCUCUUCUUCGCCGUCUUCAUGGCGUCCGAGUCCGUCUACCUCUCCUCGGUGCUCUACAAGUUCCUGCACGGAGGGUACAUCCCCGUGGUCAUCUCGGCGGUGCUCAUGGCCGUCAUGAUCGUGUGGCACUACGUGCACGUGAAGCGCUACAAGUACGAACUGGAGCGCACGGUGUCGCCGGACAAGGUGCGGGAGCUGCUGGACGGCCGCGACCUGCGCAAGGUGCCCGGAGUGGGGCUCUUCUACACGGACCUCGUGCAGGGGAUCCCGCCGGUGUUCCCGCACCUCAUCGAGAAGAUCCCGUCCAUCCACGCCGUGCUGCUCUUCGUCUCCGUCAAGCACCUCCCCGUGCCGCACGUGGACAUGUCGGAGCGGUUCCUGUUCCGGCAGGUGGAGCCGAGGGAGCACAAGCUGUACCGGUGCGUGGCGAGGUACGGGUACCGUGACCCGCUGGAGGAGGCCAAGGACUUCGCGGCCAACCUGGUGGAGCGCCUCCAGUACUACAUCCGCGACGUGAACCUGUACGGCGUGGACGUGGACGCCAAGGCCGGCAAGGUGAGCUACCCGAGCUCGCGCUGCGACAGCAUGGCCAGGUCGACCCGGCGCAGCAGCAUGACGAUGACGAUGCAGCAGCACUACUCGUCGGCGUCCUACACGGAGAGCCUUGUGCUGGCGAGGGCAAGGUCGACGUCCUCGGGGGCAACCGGGCGCAUGAACAUGAACGGCAUGAUCAUGAUGCCGUCGGCGUCCUACACGGAGAGGGAGAGGCAGGGGCGGUCCAUCUACGCGGAGGAGAUGAUGACGCCGGCCGAGUCCUUCUCGGAGCUGGCAAUGCAGGUGGUGCCGUCGGGGCGGUACGCGGCGAGCAGCCAGCAGCUGUUCCAGGCGGCGAAGAUGAGCCUGGAAGAGAUGGCCAAGAUCGAGGAGGAGCAGAGGUACAUCGAGAGGGAGAUGGAGAAGGGGGUGGUGUACAUCAUGGGGGAGAACGAGGUGGUGGCGCGGCCUCACUCCUCGCUGCUCAAGAAAGUCAUCGUCAACUACGUCUACGCAUUCCUCAGGAAGAACUGCAGGCAAGGGGAUAAGAUGCUCGCCAUACCAAGAAGCCAGCUGCUCAAGGUCGGAAUGUCUUACGAGAUCUAG